This is a long non-coding RNA of Prinia subflava (tawny-flanked prinia), 2841 nucleotides long. RefSeq lists it as uncharacterized. NCBI's taxonomy places the organism in Eukaryota, Metazoa, Chordata, Aves, Passeriformes, Cisticolidae. The record is from RefSeq and is a predicted model, not a curated record. The transcript has 10 exons.
UGACACAGAUACCUGCCUGUGGGAAUUGGAAGUGCUCUCCAAGAAUUGUGAUGCCUUGUAGCUGACAAGUCCUUGAUCUGAGGAAAGAAGCCAGGAUCUGCAUUGACUUGCAAGACCAUGCAGCAAGCAGCAAAAAAAUCGAUUCUCACUGAGUCAGGAGCACCCAGACAGACUUCUGGGAUCAGCACCCCACCAACAGUCACCUCCUUCUCAUAAACACACAGAGCCCCAGAAAGAAACUGAGCAAAUAUUUCCUAUGGUAAGAAUGGUGAAGUCUCUUUGGAAGAAGUCAGAGUAUUGCACACAGAAAAACAGCCGGCAGCCUCCAAUUCCUGUUUAUCCUGUUAGGCUCACAUUUUGGUAUUCCUGUUUUACACUAAACUUGGAUGUUGGAUUACGUCCCUCAGCUGCAACUUUCCGGGCCCUCAGAAUUGCAGAGAAGACCUGAAGAGCCUUGGGAGGAGGUGCUACAGGUGGAUGAUUCCUGAAAUCUUCUGAAGCUCAGCUCCAGAGCCUUAGCUUGCAGUUGGUCCUGAAGUCACUCAGAUCUUCUGGGCUUUGAAAAUGGGGUUCAAUACCUCAUGAUAUCUAAUACCUACAGAUAAUCUUUUCAAGAAAAUGAUAUCAAGACUUCUACAGAAUAUCAGGCAGAUUGUUUAUUUCCAAGACAGCAUAAAUCACCAAGUGUCACUGAGAAAUUGAGCAGAAAAACACAAUUCCAAUUUUGGCCAGAAGGAAGCAUCAGGGACAGCACUGCAAGAGAUCUUCCAAAGCACACAAAGUUUUCUAUGAAUUGAGAAAUUAAGAUAAUGAGGGUCACAGAAAUAAAUCCAGUGCCAGUGCUUUGGCCUGACAACAAAUGAACCCUUGACUCUUCAGGACAUGCCUCUGAAGCACCCAGUGUUGGAGGAAACGUGGAAUAUUUGAAGCCUCACUGAUUGCAUACAAGAAGAUAGCAGAGAAGAGACCAUCACAUGCCUUAGGAAAAAUGGUAUCAUUAAACAUAGCCAUGUUUUCUUUUAGAAGAAGAUACACAAGUCCCAAGAGAGACUGCUGGCAACUUGCAUGCAGCUAUGACAGAUUGCUGUAACAGUUCAUAUUCCACCGGAACCGCUCCGUCGCUUUCAAUUCCGCCUGUUCCUGCCGCUUUCGGCUCUUAAACACGGUCAUUGUCAGGCGUCGAGCUGAGGAAAAGCUGAGGCAAGACACCAUCACCACCCCCACCACCUCCACUGACUGCUCCUGUCCCCUUUUCCCUCCCCCGCCUUCCCCGCGGACCGUACCCUAAAAGUGACGCGACUUCUUGCAGCAAGGGGUGAAAAGUCCCUUCUGUCCUUGUCACCUGCACGGAGCGGGGAGCUGUCCGUGCGAGUCCUUCGGGGUUAGCCACUCCUGGUACUCGGCUUUUUCACGAUUGAGAUGUUUGAAAUGCCGCCUUCUAAGCACAAACCCAAAGUCUGUGGGGCUGCCAGCCCACCCGAGGGCCGGCGUGCCGUGCUCAUGCGGGGUUUGAGCGCUCUGGGUUUUGUUAGGACGGGGUUUAGAGCUUGUUUAGAGCGGAGCGCCUUCAGUGAAUAAACACCUGAUAGCAACAAGAUCAUCUCCAACCAUGGCUAGCAGGGACCGCGUAUCAACUUAGUAAAUUUUGCCCGUAAUUUAUUUGCAAAUGCGGCUGUCCUCUUCCGAAGAGGACAAAAAGCAGGCAGUAGGUGCUCAGGCAGAAAGAGCUUUAAGAAACUUUAAAGCAACAAUUAAUCUGAAGGGAUAACUUUUUUUCCCCUCCUGUUUCUGCACAGUGGUUGAAGAGAGGUGGCUCGAGGAAUUCGGCUUGUCACAUAAAAGGCGGAAAAAAAAACUCUGCGGAGUUGAGUAAGUGAAUGAUGUAUGAGUCCGAUGGUCCCGUGUAAAGAAAAUACAGCCCUAAGCCGCAGCUACUAAAUCAAAAAGGACUGGAUCACCGCCUGCAUCCCGCAGAAGGGACCUUCAGCGUGCCUUCCCCUGGCAGCCCUGACUUCCAGCUCCUUCUGCUGCCAAGCAGCUUGACAGUGUAUCCCGGGCACUUUCUCCUAAAGUUUGAAAAACCCGGGCAGCGAUGGUGCGCGGUGUUUGGAGGAGAUGACUGUUUUAAAAACAACUCAGAUUUUUACACCGCUCCGCUUCUUUUUCCUUGUCCUUUGCUCCCGUUUAAAGAACUUGUUAUUGUUUAAAGAGACCCCAUUGAACUAUUUCCUGCUCAUUGUCACCUCUCUCCCCCUCGCCCUCUAUCCAGGGAUUCUCACGGAAAGGUAAUAAACUUCCCUCACACCACAGACCGUCGCAGCUCCGGAGAAUGCAAACUAUUAUAACACCGGCCGGCGGGAGUGCUUCAGAGCACCCCUCUUUUCCCUCGUCCCGGCCCUCGUUUUUGUGUCAACUAACUUUAAAAUAAAUUCAUCCCGUUGCAAAGUUUCACCCAUGAGUUUCUCCCCUCUUGCCCGCAGGAACUCGUGGGGCUUUCUCCUUCCUACACGAAACAAAGCCUUUAACUAUCGAUCUGUUUUCAGAAGUACGUGUUUAUUUAGGUGGGAUGGCGGGUGCCUGCCGAUGUGAUUUUCAGAUUUUUAAAGAAUUAUUUAGGUGGGAUGGCUCGAAACCAUCGCUGUCGAGCAUCCCGGCUGCGAAGGCAGGGCCCGUGCUGCUGCUAUGAGGCAAACUCUGCCGCUGUUCUCACGGGCGGCCUCAUGGGCUCGCUAGAUGCGGGGAGUGCCCGUGCCGUGCCAGGUUCGUGGCCAGCCGCUGUACAGCGCCGCUCCAGCUCCUUGGCUGAUUUUCCCCGCAAGGUUUGCCGCUGCCAGCUGCACC